GUAGGUGGCAAGCGUUGUCCGGAAUUAUUGGGCGUAAAGCGCGCGCAGGCCGGGGGGUUUUUAAGUCUGAUGUGAAAGCCCACGGGCUCAACCGUGGAGGGUCAUUGGAAACUGGAGAACUUGAGUACAGAAGAGGAAAGCGGAAUUCCACGUGUAGCGGUGAAAUGCGUAGAGAUGUGGAGGAACACCAGUGGCGAAGGCGGCUUUCUGGUCUGUAACUGACGCUGAGGCGCGAAAGCGUGGGGAGCAAACAGGAUUAGAUACCCUGGUAGUCCACGCCGUAAACGAUGAGUGCUAAGUGUUAGGGGGUUUCCGCCCCUUAGUGCUGCAGCUAACGCAUUAAGCACUCCGCCUGGGGAGUACGGCCGCAAGGCUG
RNAcentral lists this ribosomal RNA (376 nucleotides) under uncultured organism. RNAcentral's name for it is "partial 16S ribosomal RNA". It matches the Rfam family "Bacterial small subunit ribosomal RNA", at positions 527 to 896 of the family's 1533-position model. The record is from RNAcentral.